CCCUUAGAUGUUCUGGGCCGCACGCGCGCUACAAUGGUCUUCGCAAACGGAUGCAUUCUCGAAGGAGAAUGCCAAUCUUGGAAUCUAUGCCUUGGUCGGGACAGUUGCUUGCAAUUUUUCGACUCGAACCAGGAAUUCCUUGUAAUCGUGAUUCAUCACAUCACGAUGAAUACGUCCCUGCCCUUUGUACACACCGCCCGUCGCUCCUACCGAUCGAAGAGUUAGGUGAAUUGCUUUGAUCGAUAAGAUUUGACUAUGGUCAACUCUCGUUGUGAAAUUCUGUGAAUCUGACUGUUUAGAGGAAGGAAAAGUCGUAACA
RNAcentral lists this ribosomal RNA (319 nucleotides) under uncultured eukaryote. RNAcentral describes it as "partial 18S ribosomal RNA". It matches the Rfam family "Eukaryotic small subunit ribosomal RNA", at positions 1470 to 1796 of the family's 1831-position model. The record is from RNAcentral.